This is a long non-coding RNA of Antechinus flavipes (yellow-footed antechinus), 2396 nucleotides long. RefSeq lists it as uncharacterized. Lineage: Eukaryota; Metazoa; Chordata; Mammalia; Dasyuromorphia; Dasyuridae. The record is from RefSeq and is a predicted model, not a curated record. The transcript is spliced from 3 exons.
UCUCUUCUUCAUGUUCUAAAGCAUGGAAUAGUAAACUUCCCCCAAACCAUAAAGGGGGUAAAUGCCUCUUUCAUUUUCAUAUAACUCCUUCUGGAUUCCAGGUGGGGAUGAGGCUGUUCUGAUAGAACACUGCAUAUCUCAGUCCAGAUUAUGGAUUGUCACAAUGCUAUUGUGACUUCUGACCAGUUCAGUCAGAUAAGUCUGCUUCUGACUUGACCUGCUACAUAUCCGCAUAUGUGAAGGCAGUGAAGGCAAUAGAGCCCCUUCUUCUAGCACAAGCACACCAGCUAGAUAAGCCUACUAGAAGACUGGAUUCUGAAAAUGACAGUGCUGUUCGUGUGUAGAUUUUGCAAUCUGAUGAUGACAGAGUGCCUGGAAACAUGAUAAACCUCUAGGAAGAGAUGCCCAAGAACACUGGAGGGAAAAAAAUGCCAGAAGAUUAUUAGUGCUGGGAGUUAGCUGUACUCUGUUGUAUCUUUCAAGCAAGUCAUGAAAACAUUCCAAAGAAACUCAUUAUGAGAGAAGGCUUAAGGGGAUACUCAGUCCUUCAAAGCUCAGACAUGCUAUUCAAGAAGAACUAAGGGACUGAACAGGACCAACAAGAAAAAAAAUAUUGUGAAAAUCCAAUUAUAUUUUAGGACCUUAUUCCAUCUAUCUUAACUCUUUCUAGAAUUUCUACUUUUUUAAUGAAUCUUUUCCUUCUGAAACUAUUUUAGUGCCAUCUCCUAUUAUUUUUUUUAUCAAAGUAUUAACUUGAACAAUAAUUCUUGUUUGAUAAUUUUCUUCAGAAAUUUCCUUCAAACAAUAUUUUAUGACCCUGUGAAGCAUAGAAAAGUACAAAAUAGCCUUUAGUACUGCAUGAAAUCCUUUUGCUCCUUCAGUAACAGCAACAAUGAUGAAAAAUAGGGGAAAAAAAUCACACAGAUUCUAGGUGCUGAAUAUUCAUUUAAUUGUUGGUACUUUAAAUGUGGGAUCUUUGUCAAAAAACAAAUCGAGUCAGUAUACUGCUUGCAAUGAAUUAAAACAAAAGUUUUGUUUUAUCCAAAUGAAAAGAAAAGUCACAGGUUGUCCUAGGAGAGACAAAUAAAUCAGGGGAUUUGAUUUUUUCAUAUUUUCAAAAGCAUUAAGAAUAAGUCCUCCAGAUGCUCUUUGCAGGCCACAUCAUGUUAAUUGUUUAAUGUCCUGGAACAAUACUGAGCCUCUUAAAUAAGAUCAGUAAUCACUUCAAAGAAUUAGCCUUAACUAUCCACACAGAAAAACCAAGAGGAUGAAAAAUGUUAAUCAUUCAGAAAUGUUCACAAGCAGUUACAGUCUAUAAAAAAGGCCUGUCAAUAUAUAAAUCCUGGACAGGCAUUGUCCAUGGAUAAUGAACUAAGGCCAUUGUUGAAUAACAUAAAGAAAUAAGAACAAUCUGUCUUUAUGAAAUUGUGAAGUAUUUUUAAUCCUGGUGGUGUUUUACCAAAACAGGCAUAUUUUGCAUUGGUACCCAUACUAUAUUAAGAUAUUUAGAGGAAGGACUUGAAAAUGUAUGUAAGAUCCUCAGUGAAGAAUUGAUAGGCAGUUAGUUCUCAAGAAUGAAUCCAGGUUAUCAGCAGCUUGUUGGUCUUCCCUUGUUUUCAAUCUACUAAUUAGAGAAAUUCAAAUCGGCAAUUCUGAGACAGAACCUCUUGCUUAUCAGAGUGCUAAAGUGACAAAAAAGGGAAAUGAUAAAAGUGGAAGAACUUAAAUUUAAAAAGAAUUGCAAGUUAUACAUAUAGAUUUGCAAUGUCAUAAACAAUCAUCUUUUUAUCAUUCUAUGUUAUGGAAGUGCUUGUUUUAUUAUAUAAAUUUAAAAAAAAAAGAAGUAGAGGGACUGUAGGGAAACAAGCACAUUGUUUGUACUGUAGUGAACCUAUAAAUGGGUACAACCAUUCUGGAUAGCAAUUUGGAAUUUUACAGGAAAAAAAAUAGAGCAAUACCCAAAAUAUAUUUUUUUGAAAAUAGGUCCUACAAAUAAAAAUAUAUGUUUAUAAGCAGCUUUUUUUAUGGUGGCAAAAAAAUGGAAACUCAGAAGACACCCAUCAAUUGUGGAAUUGUUUGAAUAAAUUGUGUUACAGGAAUGUGAUGAAAUACUAUUGUGUUUUUAAAAAUGAGGAAAUCGAUUCACAGAAACAUGGAAAGAUUUAUAUGAAGUGACUUCAAGGUAAAGCAGAGAAUACCAACUACCCAUGCUAUUUAUCCCCUGUGGAUACCCUCUUUUCAACUUCUUUUUUUUUUGUGUGUGUUGUUUUCUUCAUUCGAUUGUAAGCUUCUUGAGAGCAGGAACUAUCUUUUUCUUAUUUAUAUCUCCUGUGUAUAGCACAGUGUCUGGCACAUAAGUAGUAGGCAUUUAUGUUUGUUAAAUUGAAUACUAUACU